AUAUUGCACAAUGGGCGCAAGCCUGAUGCAGCAACGCCGCGUGAGGGACGACGGCCUUCGGGUUGUAAACCUCUUUUGGCAGGGAAGAAGCGAAAGUGACGGUACCUGCAGAAAAAGCACCGGCUAACUACGUGCCAGCAGCCGCGGUGAUACGUAGGGUGCAAGCGUUGUCCGGAAUUAUUGGGCGUAAAGAGCUCGUAGGCGGUUUGUCGCGUCUGCUGUGAAAACCCGAGGCUCAACCUCGGGCCUGCAGUGGGGACGGGCAAACUAGAGUGCGGUAGGGGAGAGUGGAAUUCCUGGUGUAGCGGUGGAAUGCGCAGAUAUCAGGAGGAACACCGAUGGCGAAGGCAGAUCUCUGGGCCGUAACUGACGCUGAGGAGCGAAAGCAUGGGGAGCGAACA
Molecule: ribosomal RNA, 401 nt
Filed under: uncultured bacterium
Lineage: Bacteria
Description: bacterial SSU rRNA
Rfam family: Bacterial small subunit ribosomal RNA
Source: RNAcentral